CCAGAACACAUAACUAACAUACCCUCUGAACUAAGACCACUCCCGGCAACUCUAGCUUAUCCCUGAUAAAUGACAACUCCUCCCAUGGAUAUUCGCUAAAAGGGUGCGUAGAUCAUGAUUCUAGACGUCGCCCAAGGAGGGGGCCGCGGCCGAUCAGGUUGUUGGUGAGGUAACGGCUCACCAAGCCUUUAACCGGUACGGGCCGUGAGAGCGGAAGCCCGGAGAUGGGCACUGAGACAAGGGCCCAGGCCCUACGGGGCGCAGCAGUCGCGAAAACUCCGCAAUACACGAAAGUGUGACGGGGCCAUCCCGAGUGCCAUCCGCUGAGGAUGGCUUUUCCCUAGUAUAUAAAGCUGGGGGAAUAAGGAGAGGGCAAGCCUGGUGUCAGCCGCCGCGGUAA
Molecule: ribosomal RNA, 400 nt
Filed under: uncultured archaeon
Lineage: Archaea
Description: bacterial SSU rRNA
Rfam family: Archaeal small subunit ribosomal RNA
Source: RNAcentral